Molecule: ribosomal RNA, 200 nt
Filed under: uncultured bacterium
Lineage: Bacteria
Description: partial 16S ribosomal RNA
Rfam family: Bacterial small subunit ribosomal RNA
Source: RNAcentral
GACGAACGCUGGCGGCGUGCUUAACACAUGCAAGUCGAACGAGGCCCAGUCAGUAGCAAUACUGAUGAAGGCCUAGUGGCGAACGGGUGAGUAACACGUGAGAAACCUAUCCUGGUCUCUGGGAUAACAGUCGGAAACAACUGCUAAUACCGGAUGCCGUCGGAGCGCUGCAUGGCGCACUGACGAAAGGGUUACUGGAU